UCAGAUUCAGAUUAAGAUGAUCUCCCCGUCUUCAAUUCAUCUACUCCUAGAUGAAUCUGUAAGCUCUUGGAUCAGCAUUGGAUCUGAUCUCUGGCAGGGUUCCGAUCAAUGCUUGAUCGUAGCCUUCUUGUUCCUUCACGUAUAUCGAACGAAACUCGAUACUUCGAGACCACCAGAUAGAAUACCCAACACCUUUGGAUGUGAGAGAGGAUCAGAGAUCAGAGAAGAGAGAGGAGAUGGCAUGGAGAAGAGGAGAGGGGG
Molecule: long non-coding RNA, 261 nt
Filed under: Elaeis guineensis (African oil palm)
Lineage: Eukaryota; Viridiplantae; Streptophyta; Magnoliopsida; Arecales; Arecaceae
Description: long non-coding RNA (EGUI_LNC064120)
Source: RNAcentral